CCCAUCCAGUUCUACACAACCGUGUUCCCUCUAAUUUUUCCCACGCAUGUGUGGAAUGAAUUUUGUUCUGUGCCCCAAUAUGGAGGUGAUUGUG
Chelonia mydas (Green sea turtle) is the source of this 94-nucleotide long non-coding RNA. RefSeq lists it as uncharacterized. The transcript has 3 exons. NCBI's taxonomy places the organism in Eukaryota, Metazoa, Chordata, Testudines, Cheloniidae. The record is from RefSeq and is a predicted model, not a curated record.